UCUCGUUAGAUCACCGAAGUCAAGCAUCAUUGUGCGCGGUCAGUACUUGGGUGGGUGACCACCUGGGAACACUGCGUGCCGUU
Molecule: non-coding RNA, 83 nt
Organism: Caerostris darwini
Lineage: Eukaryota; Metazoa; Arthropoda; Arachnida; Araneae; Araneidae
Source: the annotation of a GenBank genome assembly